Molecule: transfer RNA, 77 nt
Filed under: Acutalibacter sp.
Lineage: Bacteria; Bacillati; Bacillota; Clostridia; Eubacteriales; Acutalibacteraceae
Description: tRNA-Met
Rfam family: tRNA
About the family: Transfer RNA (tRNA) molecules are approximately 80 nucleotides in length.
Source: RNAcentral
GGCGGUAUAGCUCAGUUGGCUAGAGCAAUCGGUUCAUACCCGAUGUGUCGAUGGUUCAAGUCCAUUUACCGCUACCA